CUACGGGAGGCAGCAGUGGGGAAUAUUGCACAAUGGGCGCAAGCCUGAUGCAGCCAUGCCGCGUGUAUGAAGAAGGCCUUCGGGUUGUAAAGUACUUUCAGCGGGGAGGAAGGGAUGGUGCUUAAUACGCGCCGUCAUUGACGUUACCCGCAGAAGAAGCACCGGCUAACUCCGUGCCAGCAGCCGCGGUAAU
Molecule: ribosomal RNA, 193 nt
Filed under: uncultured bacterium
Lineage: Bacteria
Description: partial 16S ribosomal RNA
Rfam family: Bacterial small subunit ribosomal RNA
Source: RNAcentral